This 497-nucleotide ribosomal RNA is filed under the name uncultured bacterium. Its description in RNAcentral is "partial 16S ribosomal RNA". It matches the Rfam family "Bacterial small subunit ribosomal RNA", at positions 28 to 507 of the family's 1533-position model. The record is from RNAcentral.
GAUGAACGCUGGCGGCGUGCCUAACACAUGCAAGUCGAACGAAAAGACGAUGAACUUGCUCGUCUUACGUUAGCGGCGCAGGUGGGUGAAACAUGUGUAUAAUCCACCUAGAUGACGGGGAAAACUUCGUGAAAACGGAUCUUAUACCGGAGAAUAUAUUGAAGCGCAUGGUGGGAUAGAAAAAGACGGUUUUGCUGUCAAUGAUAGCUGCUUCCCCGCCGUAUUAGCUAGUUGUGAAGGUAACGGCUUACCAAGGCAACGAUGCGUAGGCGAACUGAGAGGAUGAUAGGCCACACUGGAACUGAGACACGGUCCAGACUCCUACGGGAGGCAGCAGUCGGGAAUCUUACGCAAUGGGCGAAAGCAUGACGCAGCCACGCCGCGCGUGUGAUGAAGGCCUUCGGAUCGUAAAGAUCUGUUAUUGGGGAUGAACAAAUGUGUACGUAAACAUAGACGUAUUGACGGUACCUGGUCAAGAAGCACCGGCUAACUACGUG